CCCAAAAGUGUUGAGUUCAGCUGCAGGCUUCUCCCUGGGGCUGAUAAUUUACUUUUGGGACAGUAACAAGCUUACAGGACUUUAGGCCUUUUGGGUCUUGCCCUGGAGCUGACACAA
Small nucleolar RNA from Rana temporaria (common frog), 117 nucleotides. NCBI's taxonomy places the organism in Eukaryota, Metazoa, Chordata, Amphibia, Anura, Ranidae. The record is from RefSeq and is a predicted model, not a curated record.